This 800-nucleotide ribosomal RNA is filed under the name Flavobacteriaceae bacterium ACEMC 2F-9. RNAcentral's name for it is "bacterial SSU rRNA". It matches the Rfam family "Bacterial small subunit ribosomal RNA", at positions 69 to 863 of the family's 1533-position model. The record is from RNAcentral. Lineage: Bacteria; Pseudomonadati; Bacteroidota; Flavobacteriia; Flavobacteriales; Flavobacteriaceae.
CAGGAAAGAGCUUGCUCUUUUGCUGACGAGUGGCGCACGGGUGCGUAACGCGUAUACAAUCUGCCUUUAAGCGGGGAAUAGCCCAUGGAAACGUGGAUUAAUACCCCAUAGUAUUAUGAUUUCACCUGGAAUUAUAAUUAAACAUUUAUGGCUUAAAGAUGAGUAUGCGUCCUAUUAGUUAGUUGGAAAGGUAACGGCUUCCCAAGACAUCGAUAGGUAGGGGUCCUGAGAGGGAGAUCCCCCACACUGGUACUGAGACACGGACCAGACUCCUACGGGAGGCAGCAGUGAGGAAUAUUGGACAAUGGAGGCAACUCUGAUCCAGCCAUGCCGCGUGCAGGAAGACUGCCCUAUGGGUUGUAAACUGCUUUUAUACGGGAAGAAACGGAGCUACGUGUAGCUUUUUGACGGUACCGUAAGAAUAAGGAUCGGCUAACUCCGUGCCAGCAGCCGCGGUAAUACGGAGGAUCCAAGCGUUAUCCGGAAUCAUUGGGUUUAAAGGGUCCGUAGGCGGGAUAAUAAGUCAGUGGUGAAAGUCUGCAGCUCAACUGUAGAAUUGCCAUUGAUACUGUUGUUCUUGAAUGAUUAUGAAGUGGUUGGAAUGUGUAGUGUAGCGGUGAAAUGCAUAGAUAUUACACAGAACACCUAUUGCGAAGGCAGAUCACUAAUAAUGUAUUGACGCUGAUGGACGAAAGCGUAGGUAGCGAACAGGAUUAGAUACCCUGGUAGUCUACGCCGUAAACGAUGGUUACUAGCUGUCCGGCCCAAUUGAGGGCUGGGUGGCCAAGCGAAAGUGAUAA